RNAcentral lists this ribosomal RNA (509 nucleotides) under uncultured bacterium. Its description in RNAcentral is "bacterial SSU rRNA". It matches the Rfam family "Bacterial small subunit ribosomal RNA", at positions 30 to 518 of the family's 1533-position model. The record is from RNAcentral.
CGAACGCUGGUAGCGUGGAUUAGGCAUGCAAGUCGAACGGGAUCACCGAUAUAGUAAUAUUGAGGUGUGAGAGUGGCGGAUUGGGGAGGAACACGUGAGCAACCUGCCUUGGAGUCGGGGAAAACCGUUGGAAACGACGGCUAAUACCGGAUGUGGCGCCCGAUGACAUCAUCGGAGCGCUAAAGGGGGCCGCAAGGCUCUCGCUCCUUGAGGGGCUCGCGCACCAUCAGCUUGUUGGCGGGUAACGGCCCACCAAGGCCUACGGUUAGCUGGUCUGAGAGGAUGACCAGCCCCACUGGGACUGAGAUACUGCCCAGACUCCUACGGGAGGCUGCAGUCGAGGAUCAUUUGCAAUGGGCGAAAGCCUGACAAUGCGACGCUGCGUGGAAGGAUGAAGGCCUUCGGGUUGUAAACUCCUGUCAUGGGGGAACAGGCGAGGGGAGUCAAUACCUCCCUUAGUUGAGUGUACCCCAAGAGGAAUUGGCGGCUAACUCUGUGCCAGCCGCCGC